AACGCCUCUUCCCCUCAUCUCUUUCUCUUCUAUUUCGUGUAAACCCUAGCGCUGCCUUAGCUUUCCUUUGCCACAUUCUUCCAAAAAUGGCAUGUUUACAGGGCUGGGCUGACGAGUACAACUAUUAUAUGCUUUUUAUAGUGAAAGCAUUAAAAUUUUUACUCAAUUUUAUCUGUUUUUACACGAAUAUGGGUUGGAAGCACAAAAUCUCCCAAAUUCGUUCUUCUCUUGGCUGCGCAUACAAAAGUUGACUAAGCUCGGGAGGGGACUCGAGGAUUUGGUUGAGGCGUAAAUAAGCCCUCAUUUUUUUGUCAGGUUUAGUGUAUAACUAGGAUGCUAGGACGUCAGCUGGGAUUGGCAGGCUCCACCUCAUUCUAGAGCUAUGCUAAGUCAUGUAUAGAUAUGUAUGAUUAUGGGUAUGUCAGGGCCCUGUCCUGACUCAUAAUGUUCAGUUUACUUCUUAGAGACUUCUGCAGACAGUGUCCUGUGGUAUGUUUGUCGAGAUGUCAGUUGAG
This is a long non-coding RNA of Lycium barbarum (goji berry), 515 nucleotides long. RefSeq lists it as uncharacterized. Lineage: Eukaryota; Viridiplantae; Streptophyta; Magnoliopsida; Solanales; Solanaceae. The transcript has 4 exons. The record is from RefSeq and is a predicted model, not a curated record.